Molecule: ribosomal RNA, 1733 nt
Filed under: Escherichia coli
Lineage: Bacteria; Pseudomonadati; Pseudomonadota; Gammaproteobacteria; Enterobacterales; Enterobacteriaceae
Description: partial 23S ribosomal RNA
Rfam family: Bacterial large subunit ribosomal RNA
Source: RNAcentral
GGGUUGUGAGGUUAAGCGACUAAGCGUACACGGUGGAUGCCCUGGCAGUCAGAGGCGAUGAAGGACGUGCUAAUCUGCGAUAAGCGUCGGUAAGGUGAUAUGAACCGUUAUAACCGGCGAUUUCCGAAUGGGGAAACCCAGUGUGAUUCGUCACACUAUCAUUAACUGAAUCCAUAGGUUAAUGAGGCGAACCGGGGGAACUGAAACAUCUAAGUACCCCGAGGAAAAGAAAUCAACCGAGAUUCCCCCAGUAGCGGCGAGCGAACGGGGAGGAGCCCAGAGCCUGAAUCAGUGUGUGUGUUAGUGGAAGCGUCUGGAAAGGCGCGCGAUACAGGGUGACAGCCCCGUACACAAAAAUGCACAUGCUGUGAGCUCGAUGAGUAGGGCGGGACACGUGGUAUCCUGUCUGAAUAUGGGGGGACCAUCCUCCAAGGCUAAAUACUCCUGACUGACCGAUAGUGAACCAGUACCGUGAGGGAAAGGCGAAAAGAACCCCGGCGAGGGGAGUGAAAAAGAACCUGAAACCGUGUACGUACAAGCAGUGGGAGCACGCUUAGGCGUGUGACUGCGUACCUUUUGUAUAAUGGGUCAGCGACUUAUAUUCUGUAGCAAGGUUAACCGAAUAGGGGAGCCGAAGGGAAACCGAGUCUUAACUGGGCGUUAAGUUGCAGGGUAUAGACCCGAAACCCGGUGAUCUAGCCAUGGGCAGGUUGAAGGUUGGGUAACACUAACUGGAGGACCGAACCGACUAAUGUUGAAAAAUUAGCGGAUGACUUGUGGCUGGGGGUGAAAGGCCAAUCAAACCGGGAGAUAGCUGGUUCUCCCCGAAAGCUAUUUAGGUAGCGCCUCGUGAAUUCAUCUCCGGGGGUAGAGCACUGUUUCGGCAAGGGGGUCAUCCCGACUUACCAACCCGAUGCAAACUGCGAAUACCGGAGAAUGUUAUCACGGGAGACACACGGCGGGUGCUAACGUCCGUCGUGAAGAGGGAAACAACCCAGACCGCCAGCUAAGGUCCCAAAGUCAUGGUUAAGUGGGAAACGAUGUGGGAAGGCCCAGACAGCCAGGAUGUUGGCUUAGAAGCAGCCAUCAUUUAAAGAAAGCGUAAUAGCUCACUGGUCGAGUCGGCCUGCGCGGAAGAUGUAACGGGGCUAAACCAUGCACCGAAGCUGCGGCAGCGACGCUGAUGCGUUGUUGGGUAGGGGAGCGUUCUGUAAGCCUGCGAAGGUGUGCUGUGAGGCAUGCUGGAGGUAUCAGAAGUGCGAAUGCUGACAUAAGUAACGAUAAAGCGGGUGAAAAGCCCGCUCGCCGGAAGACCAAGGGUUCCUGUCCAACGUUAAUCGGGGCAGGGUGAGUCGACCCCUAAGGCGAGGCCGAAAGGCGUAGUCGAUGGGAAACAGGUUAAUAUUCCUGUACUUGGUGUUACUGCGAAGGGGGGACGGAGAAGGCUAUGUUGGCCGGGCGACGGUUGUCCCGGUUUAAGCGUGUAGGCUGGUUUUCCAGGCAAAUCCGGAAAAUCAAGGCUGAGGCGUGAUGACGAGGCACUACGGUGCUGAAGCAACAAAUGCCCUGCUUCCAGGAAAAGCCUCUAAGCAUCAGGUAACAUCAAAUCGUACCCCAAACCGACACAGGUGGUCAGGUAGAGAAUACCAAGGCGCUUGAGAGAACUCGGGUGAAGGAACUAGGCAAAAUGGUGCCGUAACUUCGGGAGAAGGCACGCUGAUAUGUAGGUGAAG